Molecule: ribosomal RNA, 434 nt
Filed under: uncultured bacterium
Lineage: Bacteria
Description: partial 16S ribosomal RNA
Rfam family: Bacterial small subunit ribosomal RNA
Source: RNAcentral
AGCGAACGCUGGCGGCAGGCCUAACACAUGCAAGUCGAACGAACCUUUCGGGGUUAGUGGCGGACGGGUGAGUAACCCGUGGGAACGUGCCUUUAGGUUCGGAAUAACUCAGGGAAACUUGUGCUAAUACCGAAUGUGCCCUUCGGGGGAAAGAUUAAUCGCCUUUAGAGCGGCCCGCGUCUGAUUAGCUAGUUGGUUGAGGUAAUGGCUCACCAAGGCGACGAUAAGUAGCUGGUCUGAGAGGAUGAUCAGCCACAUUGGGACUGAGACACGGCCCAGACUCCUACGGGAGGCAGCAGUGGGGAAUCUUGCGCAAUGGGCGAAAGCCUGACGCAGCCAUGCCGCGUGAAUGAUGAAGGUCUUAGGAUUGUAAAAUUCUUUCACCGGGGACGAUAAUGACGGUACCCGGAGAAGAAGCCCCGGCUAACUUCGUG